AGGCGGCAGCUAUACAUGCAGUCGAGCGGACCGACGGGAGCUUGCUCCCUUAGGUCAGCGGCGGACGGGUGAGUAACACGUGGGUAACCUGCCUGUAAGACUGGGAUAACUCCGGGAAACCGGGGCUAAUACCGGAUGCUUGAUUGAACCGCAUGGUUCAAUCAUAAAAGGUGGCUUUUAGCUACCACUUACAGAUGGACCCGCGGCGCAUUAGCUAGUUGGGGAGGUAACGGCUCACCAAGGCGACGAUGCGUAGCCGACCUGAAAGGGGGAUCGGCCACCCUGGGACUGAAACACGGCCCAAACUCCUACGGGAGGCAGCAGUAGGGAAUCUUCCGCAAUGGACGAAAGUCUGACGGAGCAACGCCCCGUGAGUGAUGAAGGUUUUCGGAUCGUAAAACUCUGUUGUUAGGGAAGAACAAGUACCGUUCGAAUAGGGCGGUACCUUGACGGUACCUAACCAGAAAGCCACGGCUAACUACGUGCCAGCAGCCGCGGUAAUACGUAGGUGGCAAGCGUUGUCCGGAAUUAUUGGGCGUAAAGCGCGCGCAGGCGGUUUCUUAAGUCUGAUGUGAAAGCCCCCGGCUCAACCGGGGAGGGUCAUUGGAAACUGGGGAACUUGAGUGCAGAAGAGGAGAGUGGAAUUCCACGUGUAGCGGUGAAAUGCGUAGAGAUGUGGAGGAACACCAGUGGCGAAGGCGACUCUCUGGUCUGUAACUGACGCUGAGGCGCGAAAGCGUGGGGAGCGAACAGGAUUAGAUACCCUGGUAGUCCACGCCGUAAACGAUGAGUGCUAAGUGUUAGAGGGUUUCCGCCCUUUAGUGCUGCAGCAAACGCAUUAAGCACUCCGCCUGGGGAGUACGGUCCCAAGACUGAAACUCAAAGGAAUUGACCGGGGGCCCGCCCAAGCGGUGGAGCAUGUGAUUUAAUUCGAAGCACGCGAAGAACUUACAGUCUUGACAUCCUCUGACAACCCUAGAGAUAUGCUCCCGUCGGGGCAAUGACAGUGGUGCAUGCUGGCGUCAGCCCAUUCUGAAUGUUGUUAGUCCGACGAGCGCACUUGAUCUUAUUGCCAGAUUCAUGGACCUAGUACCUGCCCGUAAACCGAGAAA
Molecule: ribosomal RNA, 1112 nt
Filed under: Bacillus licheniformis
Lineage: Bacteria; Bacillati; Bacillota; Bacilli; Caryophanales; Bacillaceae
Description: bacterial SSU rRNA
Rfam family: Bacterial small subunit ribosomal RNA
Source: RNAcentral